Molecule: long non-coding RNA, 7685 nt
Filed under: Arabidopsis lyrata
Lineage: Eukaryota; Viridiplantae; Streptophyta; Magnoliopsida; Brassicales; Brassicaceae
Description: long non-coding RNA (ALYR_LNC002824)
Source: RNAcentral
GAAGAGGAGUCGCCCUGUUGGUCUAGGCCAGGGAUCGAUUCCCCUCAAGCGCGAAAGUGCUAGUCAUUUCUAUUUGGCCAAGGGCUUUCACCUGGUCUUCUCCGGACCCUGGAGGGAUUAAGGGCUUCGGCCCCGAACCUCCUGGUUAUCAAAAAAAAAAAAAAAAAAAAAACCUACUAUUAGGCUGAUUCUCAAUAGAGCCGAAUGAAGAAAUUGGCUUAUGGUACACAUUACUAUUUUAAUAGAUAGUUAAUGUUAGAUCAAAUUUUCUAUUUUUUUUAAAAUACUCAAAACUUGUAUGUUAUAAGAAUCAUAUGAUGUAUAUGGAAGUAAUGUUUUAUACCUAUACCUGAACUUUAGCAGCUUGUUUAAUAAGUAGUUUUUUUUUCGGUAAACACGAUUGUUUCAUUCUUAACAUGACAAUAUUGGACUGCCUGCUGUACUAAUUAACAAAAUGUCAGUUUGAUUUAUUACAUAAGGUCUUUGAUAUGGUUAUUUAUGACAGAUGAUUAUAAACGUCUAUAAUAUCAAACCUGUAUGAUGAAAUAAACUUUUGUGAAAUCAUAAGCUUUACAUUAACACUUAACAAACAAACAAAAAACGAUGUAGCCCACAAUCAAGUAAUAUUCUAAAGGAAUAUGCUUUGGGAUCAUGCUUAGUAUUUAUAUUUUUAAUUCCAGACAUGUAUAAGGCUACCAUGCAUAUAGUAUUUUUAAAAAGAGAUAAAUAGUAAAAAGCAUUUGAAACUAGAGAUAUAAUCAUAGAAGACUAAAGUUACUUUAAACACAAACUUUGAUCCAUUAACCUUGGACCACAAGUUGGUAGUGGGUUUUAAACAUGAAAAGGUAUUUCCAAUCCUUAUGUUUAUGGUUACAGGAUGUGAUUUAGAUAUAAAAAUAUGUGGAUGUAUGGAAAUGGCAAAUUUUUUUCCUUUGGUUGUAAUUUACCCAUUAUUCUAAUAAUUCGAGCCUAAAAAAAUCAUUUAUGCCAAAAGAUAGACGAAUAUAUGAGAAAUUAUAAACUCUUUGCCGUUUUCAUUUUGUAAGAACGCCGUGUUGUUCAACAAGUGCAAGCUCAAAACAACAACACAAUGUAAGAUUAGAGAACACGACAUCAAAACUUUUCCAACAAGAAAACGGCAAAACUAAUAGUAUCUUUUAAAUCACGGAAGCAAGUGAUGUGGUAGUGUAUUAAGUAUUAACCGGUAUUUCUCAUUCCUGCAGCGAUACCAUUAAUUGUGAUAAGCAAAGCAUCUCUAAGCUUAUUAUUAUCUUCAUCACGUCUUAGCCUCUUAAGAAUUUCAACUUGUAACAUGUUCAUUGCGUUGAGAUACGGAAGUCUACUCUCAAUGAGUUUCUUCAAGCUCUUAUUGUUCUGCAAGAGUUUCUCGUGGCCACUUAUCACAAGAACGUACUUCUCAGUAGUCAUUAGUUCCUUUCUUAGUUCAUUGCCAAGUCCUCUUCUUUUCUCAGACACAAGUUGUUCGUCGUAGUGUUUGGUCAUGGGGAUGUCAGCUUUAGCUAACACCAUCUCUAUAAGUUCAAGGGUGGACUGAAAAAAUGGCCAUUCUUUAUACAUCUCUUGAAGAUCAUCCGCAUGACCCUUCUCAGAGACUCCCUUUAAGCCAGCCCCUACACCAAGCCAAGCUGGAAGAACAAAUCUUGUUUGAGUCCAAGCAAAGACCCAAGGGAUAGCUCGGAGAUGACCUAUGCCGCUAGAGCUCUUUCUUCGCGUUGGUCGGCUUCCUAUAUUGAGGAAACCGAGUUCUGCUUGAGGUGUUGACUCAUGAAAAUAAGAUAGGAACUCUGGGUUCUCAUACACUGUGCUUCUAUAGUGUUGGCAACUGAUUGUAGAGAUUUCUUCCAUUAGGUUUCGCCAUUUUUCCUCUCGAGGUGGCUGAGGAGGUUUUAAGGUAGCAAGUAGAACAGCGGUUGUGUAUACCUCUAGUUGCCUAACAGCCGUUUGUGGUAUCCCAAACUUAGCUUGAACCAUCUCACCUUGCUCAGUUGAACGCAAAGAGCCCUGCUCAAACCAAUUCAAUCAUUUAUAUUUAGCUUUUAUUGCACUAUUAACAUAGUGAUAGCAUUAUAUAGUACAAAUCAAUAAUACAAUCAUUAAUAUAUUUUUUUUAAAUGAUCUAUCAUAAAAUAGUUUGGAAACUGACCAUUACAGAGCCUGGUGGUUGGGACUGUAUAGCGAGAUAAGUCGGACCACCACCACGACCAAUGCUUCCUCCUCGUCCAUGAAAUAAUGUGAUUUUGAUUCCAAAUUCAUUACAAGCAGCCACAACAUUUUCUUGUGCUUUGUAGAGUUCCCAUGCUGCUGUAAAACGUCCAGCAUCUUUUCCAGAAUCAGAGUAUCCAACCAUUACCUACAAGUAAAAUUGUUACAAGUUCUUAGAGGCUCCCUUUGAUGUUAAAAUGUUUGCAUACUUCACGCGUAACGUACCUCUUGGUGACCGUUGUGGUUCUUUUGGACGUGUUCCCUAUACCAAUCGAUUGAGAGCAAUUUCCUUAUCGAAGGACCAGCGGCUCUUAAAUCAUUCACCGUUUCAAAAAGAGGUACCACUCGUAGCCUAUUCAAAUAAAUAGAUAGUAGUAAGAGUUUUUCAGGCUACUCAAAAUGUUACUCAUGUAUGUAAUAAUAAUAAAGUGAUUGCUAUAAAUAAGUAUGAAACAAUGUGACAUUUUAGUAAGAUUACUCACGUUCCACCGGGACAUGGUUUUCCAUGUUCGCUAGUUAUAGCAAGUCGAGCAUCCUUUUGAAGAAGCUCCACAGCAAGGACAUCACUUGCCUGCAAGUAGUAAACAAAUAAAUGUCAUUUUUUUCUUUGUGUAUGAAAAUGUGGAAAAUCGUCACGCAUAGCUACGUUUUAAUUUGGAGAAAUCAUACAUUAGAAGCCAUAGAAAUAACAUAAGCUCCAAGUGAUUCACUUCCAAGCUCCGCAGCGACUCGGAAUGUGUCCAAUACUUCUUUGACGUCAGGACCAACCUACAUAAAUAAAAACAGAUAAAUAAAUAAAACUUAACAACGACUAUCAUAUCAUCAUAUUGUUCUUUUCUUGUAGUAUACGCAAUAGAUAUUUCAUUAUGACCUUAAUACAUGGAGGAACAAGAGGUCGUUUCCCUUUUAGUUCUCUGGUCAAAAAUUCUAAUUUUUUCUCUUCAUCCCAUUCACUAUAAGUACCCAUAUCCAAGUAUGUUGUAAUUGCAUCCAAUGCUUCAGAAUGUCUUGCAGAUUCCUAGUAAUUGAAUCACUCAUAAAUUAGAGAAAUGUAUCACUGCGUAAGAGGACCGAGACAUUAGGAUUAUAGGAAAAAAAUUCACCUGGCGUAAAUCAAGUUUCACCAAAACCAUUCCAAAGGUAGAAACUCUACGGAUGAGAUCAGCAAGUCGUCCAUCAGCUAGUACACUAGCACCCGAUGAUUGCUGAGAAAAAUGAAUGAUGUUAGAUUAAAAGUUCAUGGUUAUUUUAUGGGAACACCAUUUUCACAUGGGAUACAGAUUUUUACUAGAGAUUCGUAGCAGAGGAGCAAUGGUUCCAGAAGUUGAUCUGAUUUUUCAUAGGAGUUUAAAGGGUCAUACUCACAAGGAAGACCCUCAAUUAGAAGUUCAAGAAGUCUUCUUGUCUUCACAAGCUAUGAUCACAAACCAUUAAUUUUGAAAGCACUUAAUUAGUUGUGUGAUGCUAAGUUUAAAUCUUUAUAUUAUCUUGAUUAAUUAAUAAGUUUAGGAUCUUUACCUUUUCUUUUACUUCCCCAAGAACAAUACGAUAAGGAGCACUUCCAGCUCGUUUAAGUGGAGGUGGUUCUAGUAGCUUUUGGAAACUAGUCUUCCCAACCUGAGAUUCCUCAAAUAGUUUCCUCUGUAAAAGAAGUUGAGAAGUAGAUGAGAAAGAACCUCGAGAAGUAAGACCGGACUGCGAACCAUUGUCAGUUUUCUCCCAGUUGCUUUCCGGAAAGUCUUGUUCAUUCUGCUUCUAUAUAAACAAAAAAUUGAAGAAAAAAUUAUCAAAAGAAUUUUCAAGAAUGGAGCAAUUCAGCAAAUUUUGUUUCAUGUAUAUGUCAAGCAUAUUUAAAGGUUUUCCUUUACCUGAAGAUUGGGUGGCAUAUAAUCUGUCGUCGCAAUUUCGAAUUUGGUAUGUCGUGAUUCACCAAAGUCUGCAAUGGGAUGGGAUAUAAAACAUGCACAGUUUUGAAAUAUUUGCCAUGCACAGUUUAGAAAUCGUUUUACCAAUGCAAGAAGGAAGGUGAGCUCUAGCUGGAAGUUGUGUUGGCAAGGAUGAUGAACUUUGUUGCUUUUGGAAAUUUGAUUGGCCUCUAUCAUAAUCUUUUUCAGAAUUUUCUGAGGGGGGAAAAAACAUCAACUUUUAAGAUUGUAGAAAAAAAAAAAAAUUAUGAAUGAAGAAGUAAAAAUUUAAUAGAAGUUGAAGCAUAUAUAUACCCUUUUCAAGAAUUUCAUCUGCUAAUCUUGAAAACCUAUCACUGCAUCGAUCCGUAGAUAGUUCAAAUCUUAAGCUAUCAACCUCUCUUAUGUAUAGAUCGAUAGCCAUCCAUCUAGACAAGAGAGAUACUUCUUUCGUGACCUGGACAAAUGAUAUCACAACAUUGAAUUGUGUGUUAUCCAGAGAAUAUGUGACAAACAAAUUUUCUGAUUGCAAUGUUAAAGAUUUUUUUCCAUGAAAAAAUAAAUAUUAAGAAUCCCAUACUACAAGUGAGAUGUGACCUAGAGUAAUAUAUAACGACCAUGAACAACUUUAUUCAUUACCGGUUGGUUUUGAGUUCAAAGUUCGAACCGUAAAAUAUCAAAAGACUAACCUUUGCCGUGACAUUUGGGUUUCCAUCUCUAUCACCUCCCAUCCAAGAACCAAAUUUUAUAGGAGUGCAUGUUAGUGGAAGUGGCUUCCCUGUGAACUAACCAAGAAAAUACAAAAUAUCAAUACUAUAUAUCUUAAGGUAAAGUAUAACUAUUAUUCAUAUUUUUCCCAAUAUAUAUUCUAGAAAUCUAAAGGUAAAAUAAUACCUUCUUCAAGGAAGUGCUGACACGACGCAGGUAAUGUGGUACAGCUUUCCAAAGGGAUUGCUCCACAAUGUUCAGACCUAAUGCAUUAAAAAAGUUUUUGAAAAAAUAGUUUGCCAAAUCAAAAUUUCUAGACUUUACAAAGUAGAUUAUUUAACGUACCAGCUCUAGCUUCAUCAACUGGAGUAGGUUUCUGACGUCUAAGCUCAUCAGUUUGCCAUAGUGAAGUUAUCUCUCUAACCUUUAAAGUAUUAAGUAAACUCUUAGUUUAUUAGUUAUACUGCUGAGAAAAUUUAUAUGGAAGAUAUUGAGGUGAAGAGUACCAAAUCUUCAAUGAGGGUUUCGCGAUCUUCAAGGCUGAGAUCUGAUCUGGUGUUAUAUUCUAGAAGAUGCUGCAAGAAGCAAAUAAUUUUCAACUCUCAAGUAAAAUUAAAGAUAGAGAUAUAAUCCAUAAAUAUGUUAACAUCAUUAGAACCAACUUACAGCAAUUCUAAGAUGCUUGUACUGCAAGGUUCUUCGAUUAAUUUGAGUAGGAUGAGCAGUAAGAACAAUUUCGACCUCCUAAAGUGCGAUAAACAAUCAAAUAUCAAAUUGAGAAAACGACACUCAGAUACGACCUAUGUGUUAGAUAAAACAUAUUGGAACCGUUUCGUUUUCUAUAAUGAUACAAUAUGAAGUAGCUAGACCUGUUUGCAAACAGUAUUGUAAAGUUCCUCUGGAGAAAUUCCACUUUGCAAUAGCUGGCUGAAUAUAUCAUCACAAGAUCUAGCAAGUUGUGUAACGUUAUGGACUUUAUGCAUUCUGAAAAAAAAAAUGUUUAUAUUUAGAAGCAAUACCAUGCAUGUUUAUUAUUAAUUGUAAAUAUUUUUGUUGUAAUGUGUUUUAUAGAAAAUAUUAUGACCUGUGAUGAGUGUCUGCAAUGCCCAUUAAGUUAAGAGAAUGAGUGAAUGUACGAGCCAAGGUUAAGGCUUCCUCUAGUGGCAUUUUGGAUAUCUCACUAGUCAAUUGCUUCUCCAAAAGGUUUGCGGUAUCCUCAAUACCAGCCAUUCGCAAAUUUAACGCACUCUGAAACGUUUACAACCAUAGAAUAAUUAAGUUUUCGAUAAGUGGAUUGAUCUAUAUCUCUUAUUAAUACGAUAGUAGGAUGUGAGAUUCCUAAAAGAUCUACGCAGAUGAAAAAAUUGGACGAGUAAUAGAUGAAUUUUUAAAGCUUAUCGAAGCGAAUAGAUAGAAAAUGAAACCUGAGCAAGAAUCCGAAUGCGUUCAACUUUUUCCAUGAAUGGGUUGCCGACUUCCCUUUGUAACACGUCAUGGAAGAGACUGCCGAGCAAUUUGCAGUCGUCUUCGAAGCUUUGGAAUGAGAUUUCCUCCGCGAUAUCAUCUGUCGUGUCCGUCAUUGUAUCGGUGAACAGAGUGAAGGAAUGAAUAUUGAAUAAUGGGAGUUCUAGUGAUCAAAGUUAAGUAAUUCUAAAUGUGACUUAUGGUUAACUAUGGGACUUACUAUUUAUGGUGGUCAAUGCAGUAAAUUAUGGGCCUAGUUAAAAUUUGUGGUGUUACUUCUCUUUCCCGUAAAAAUUUGGGGCCUAUUCUUCUUCAUUUCCAAACUUUGAUUUUGUACUAUUUCUCCUCCAAACAAGUAAAUAACUAGAUAGUAAAAAGGAAGGAAAUUCUACAAAAAUUUACGGAGGAAUAACGGAUUUUAAUUAACUAACUUUGUUUUAUCAUUUUACUUGAAUGCCUUCUUUAUAUCUCGGACUCGAAUUAUCAAUAUCAUGCUUCCACAUGGGUCAUGCUAAUCUUCUUUCCAAUUUGAUCGAAUGUACCCAUAGGGAUCCUAAGUGACAUCUUUUGCUGAUUAUUAUAUUAAGAGACAUAUAUGAUUCAUCAUUAUAUUUGCUAAGUUUUACUAGCUAACAAAUGGCUAAAUAUCUGUUUUAGUUAUUUACAUAAUCGUUCUCAUUAUAGCAACACCAUAACAUACAUCAUCUUAGUUUUUCAUAAGAAGAUGAAGCUCGUAGUGGACAAUUUAGACUUUAAAUUUUGUAUACUCAUUUUGCUUAUCCAAGUCCUGUGUUCUUCAAUCCAUUUUUGUAGUAAACAAUUUAACAACAAAUGAAGUGAGAGGAAAGACCGUUCGAGAAUAUCAAUAAAUAAAUAAAAAAGUGAAAACAAGUGCAAUGGAAAAAGCAAAGAUAUUUGUGUAAGCCAAUGACACCGACACAUUUGGACCAAACGUAAAUAAAUUGCAGAAGCAAUACGACACCGUUUAAACCCAAAUAAGUCAACAAAAGUAAAACACGACAAGAAAGGGUUUCACUGUGUUCGGCAAUAAUGGCGACAGAAGAAGCGAUACCAAGAGUCGCCGUCAUCGUUUUCAUUCUCAACGGAAACUCAAUCUUAUUAGGUCGCCGCCGUUCCUCAAUCGGAAACUCCACUUUCGCUCUUCCCGGUGGCCACCUCGAAUUCGGUCUCUUUCCUCUCUCUCCUCUCUCUUUAUUUCAACCAAAUCUUGAUUUGAGCUAAUCUUUGUUCUUUAAGCAGGUGAGAGCUUUGAAGAAUGUGCAGCGAGAGAAGUAAUGGAGGAAACAGGUCUAAAGAUUGAAAAGAUGAAGCUUUUGACUGUGACAAACAAUGUAUUCAAAGAAGCACCAAAGCCAGCACACUACG